AGUGAACGCUGGCGGUAGGCCUAACACAUGCAAGUCGAACGGCAGCACAGUAAGAGCUUGCUCUUACGGGUGGCGAGUGGCGGACGGGUGAGGAAUACAUCGGAAUCUACUUUUUCGUGGGGGAUAACGUAGGGAAACUUACGCUAAUACCGCAUACGACCUACGGGUGAAAGCAGGGGAUCUUCGGACCUUGCGCGAUUGAAUGAGCCGAUGUCGGAUUAGCUAGUUGGCGGGGUAAAGGCCCACCAAGGCGACGAUCCGUAGCUGGUCUGAGAGGAUGAUCAGCCACACUGGAACUGAGACACGGUCCAGACUCCUACGGGAGGCAGCAGUGGGGAAUAUUGGACAAUGGGCGCAAGCCGGAUCCAGCCAUACCGCGUGGGUGGAGAAGGCCUUCGGGUUGUAAAGCCCUUUUGUUGGGAAAGAAAAGCAGCAGGUUAAUACACCGCUGUUCUGGCGGUACCCAAAGAAUAAGCACCGGCUAACUUCGUG
Molecule: ribosomal RNA, 492 nt
Filed under: uncultured bacterium
Lineage: Bacteria
Description: partial 16S ribosomal RNA
Rfam family: Bacterial small subunit ribosomal RNA
Source: RNAcentral